This 222-nucleotide long non-coding RNA is filed under the name Brassica rapa (field mustard). RNAcentral describes it as "long non-coding RNA (BRAP_LNC004341)". Lineage: Eukaryota; Viridiplantae; Streptophyta; Magnoliopsida; Brassicales; Brassicaceae. The record is from RNAcentral.
UUGGAAGACUUUGCGAAGGACCAGAUCUCCCUGAUUGAACCUACGAUUCCGUACGUUGGAAUUAUAGUAUCUUGCAGCGGCGUGCUGGUAGUUUUGAAUUCGGAUGAGCGCUUGAUCCCGGCGUUCGUUAAUGAGGUCGAGGUCGUCCAAGAGCAUAGCAUUGUUGAGUUUCUCUCGUUGAGGUAAGAACCUUCUUCGAACACCGGGAAAUUCUACUUCUGC